This is a long non-coding RNA of Spinacia oleracea (spinach), 381 nucleotides long. RefSeq lists it as uncharacterized. Lineage: Eukaryota; Viridiplantae; Streptophyta; Magnoliopsida; Caryophyllales; Amaranthaceae. The transcript is spliced from 3 exons. The record is from RefSeq and is a predicted model, not a curated record.
CAAUGAUGAUUUGAUCUGUGUUCAGCUGGAAAUGUGGUUUGCUCUUGGGGAAGAGGAGAGGACGGGCAAUUAGGCCAUGGAGAUCCUGAAGAUCGAUUUGUACCAGUUCAAUUGAGCGCAUUGGAUGAACAUGAGGUUAACUCCAUUACAUGUGGAGCUGACCAUACCCUUGCAUAUUCCGAGCCACGUGUACAAGUCUACAGUUGGGGAUGUUGGGGAAGGAACCAAAAUGGCCAGCUUGGUAUUGGCACUGCUGAGGACUCUCUUGUCCCACAAAGGAUUAAAGCCUUCCAGGGAACACCUGUGAAAAUGGUUGCUGCUGGUGCUGAGCAUAGUGCUGCUGUCACAGAAGCUGGUGAUGUGUAUGGCUGGGGAUGGGGA